UGUCGUCAGCUCGUGUCGUGAGAUGUUGGGUUAAGUCCCGCAACGAGCGCAACCCCUCGCAUUCAGUUGCCAUCGGGUAAUGCCGGGCACUCUGGAAGGACUGCCAUCGACAAGAUGGAGGAAGGUGGGGGAUGACGUCAAGUCAUCAUGGCCCUUAUGUCCAGGGCGACACACGUGCUACAAUGGCCGGCACAACGGGAAGCGAGUUCGCGAGGACGAGCGGAUCCCUCAAAGCCGGUCGCAGUUCGGAUUGAAGUCUGCAACUCGACUUCAUGAAGCUGGAAUCGCUAGUAAUCGUGGAUCAGCCAAGCCGCGGUGAAUACGUUCCCGGGCCUU
RNAcentral lists this ribosomal RNA (336 nucleotides) under uncultured Synergistaceae bacterium. RNAcentral describes it as "bacterial SSU rRNA". It matches the Rfam family "Bacterial small subunit ribosomal RNA", at positions 1050 to 1382 of the family's 1533-position model. Lineage: Bacteria; Thermotogati; Synergistota; Synergistia; Synergistales; Synergistaceae. The record is from RNAcentral.